RNAcentral lists this ribosomal RNA (517 nucleotides) under Pichia occidentalis. RNAcentral describes it as "eukaryotic LSU rRNA". It matches the Rfam family "Eukaryotic large subunit ribosomal RNA", at positions 104 to 648 of the family's 3401-position model. Lineage: Eukaryota; Fungi; Ascomycota; Pichiomycetes; Pichiales; Pichiaceae. The record is from RNAcentral.
AAAGCUCAGAUUUGAAAUCGUGUUUCGGCACGAGUUGUAGAUUGCAGGUUGGAGUCUUUGUGGAAGCGUGUGUCUAAGUCCCUUGGAACAGGGUGCCAUUGAGGGUGAGAGCCCCGUGAGACGCGUGCGGAAGCUGUAAGGCCCUUCUGACGAGUCGAGUUGUUUGGGAAUGCAGCUCUAAGUGGGUGGUAAAUUCCAUCUAAGGCUAAAUAUUGGCGAGAGACCGAUAGCGAACAAGUACUGUGAAGGAAAGAUGAAAAGCACUUUGAAAAGAGAGUGAAACAGCACGUGAAAUUGUUGAAAGGGAAGGGUAUUGGGCUCGACAUGGGAUUUGCGCACCGCUGCUCCUUGUGGGCGGCGCUCUGUGCUUUUCCUGGGCCAGCAUCGGUUUUUGCCGCAGGAGAAGGCGUGCUGGAAUGUGGCUCUUCGGAGUGUUAUAGCCAGUGCGAGAUGCUGCGUGCGGGGACCGAGGACUGCGACAUCUGUCUCGGAUGCUGGCACAACGGCGCAAUACCGC